Molecule: ribosomal RNA, 253 nt
Filed under: uncultured bacterium
Lineage: Bacteria
Description: partial 16S ribosomal RNA
Rfam family: Bacterial small subunit ribosomal RNA
Source: RNAcentral
UACGGAGGGUGCGAGCGUUGUUCGGAAUCACUGGGCGUAAAGCGCGCGUAGGCGGUCUGCUAAGUCUGAUGUGAAAGCCCGGGGCUCACCCCCGGAAGUGCAUUGGAAACUGACAGACUGGAGUCCCGGAGAGGAGGGUGGAAUUCCUGGUGUAGCGGUGAAAUGCGUAGAUAUCAGGAGGAACACCGGUGGCGAAGGCGGCCCUCUGGACGGUGACUGACGCUGAGGCGCGAAAGCGUGGGGAGCAAACAGG